RNAcentral lists this long non-coding RNA (2834 nucleotides) under Macaca mulatta (Rhesus monkey). Its description in RNAcentral is "lncRNA (ENSMMUG00000049776.1)". Lineage: Eukaryota; Metazoa; Chordata; Mammalia; Primates; Cercopithecidae. The record is from RNAcentral.
AAGGUUGCAAAAUGGCGAGGGGGGAGGUAAGCUGUCUUUGCUUGGCCAUCUUGGGCUAGCAGGCCCUGCAGAGAACUACCUUUUUAGCUGAGUGAAGGGAUCAGUCAACCUGAGUUGGAGUUCUCCUAUGCUGUGGCCAGAUCCACUAGAAAUUAAGCCAGAAUCUUAGCCUCUCACUGGCCUAUCGGUGAUGCCACAUGCAAUCAGAAACUAUGCCACUGGUGAAGAGGUAUAUUGAGCCCUGCCUGGUUAACCUCCAGUGAGGUUAUCAGAGAAUUGGGAGAGGCUCAAACCAGCAUCCUGCACCUAGUUAUCAAACCAUUGUGAAGUCUUGAUUCCUGGAUGGCCAGAAAACUUCUCAUUGGUCAAGAGCAACAUUAAGAUCUGCCUGUUACUCAUACUGAUGCUUCCUGCCCAGCAAGUUCAUCAGAGGAAGAGGAUGAAUUACGGUUGCCAUGGAUGUCCUUGUGAGGCAGUUGGGAAGCCUUGGCUGGAUUGUGAAGGAUAUUUGAAAAGUAUUUUAGAGUCCACCAGAUCCUCCAUGUGAAUGACCAUGCAGCAAAAGAAGGAGGGUCCUGUCAGUGAUUAAGGUAACAUAGUGAUGAAGGUAAGUAGGGGAAGAGAGGCUUACUUUGCCCUGAUUCUUGUCAGGGAGGCUCUUAGAACUGCCAUUUCCAGAGCAUAAGUGACAGGCCAGCACUUUCAAAGCCUGCAACUUAUUCUAUAAUAUAUCCUUCUUAAAACAAUUCAUGUAGAUUAUAUGCUUACCCAGUCUGUGAUCACUCCUGCAGAUCAGAAGAACUGAAAUAUAGGUGACAUAGGCUCUUGCUUUUGUAAAUAUUUUGUUGAAACACAGUUGUGUUCAUUCAUUAUUGUCGAUGGCAGCUUUCAUGCUACAGCAGAGAUGAGUAGUUGGGAGAGAAACCAUAUGGACCAUGGAGUUUGAAAUAUUACUGUCUGGCCCUUCACAGAAAGUUUGCCAAUUCGUGGCAUAGAUUAAAUAAAUGUACUAUGUCUACAAAUCCUCCUCUCCCCAUUUUCCUUUCAAUGGGACUUGCAUUUACAGUUGAUCCUAGAACAUAUGGAAUCUCAUAGUAAUCAGCUUGCUUCUGAAUUUCUUCCCACUCAAAUUAAGCUCACCUAGAAAGCACAUUCACAAAUCGGGCUACAUAUACAGAAGGAACUAUGUUUUAUAUGCCUCAUCGUAGUCAACUCAUUUAUCCUAUAUGUAUGGUUCCCCCAUUUUUUCCUUCUUUUCAGGGGUGACUUUUAAACUUGAGCCAUUCAUGAGUAUCCAAAAAGUUACAACUUAUGUUUUCUAAUUAAGACUUUAUCCUUAUUUUAGUAUACUUACCCUCCCUGGCUUUUUUGCAUAUUUCUGCAGAUGUCUUGACCUUUCUGGGGAAUAAGCCCCCUUAGAAGAUUAAUUUUCUGUAGUUCUCUAUUGAGGAAAUACAUGACAUUUAGCUUUUUAAUAAUUUGAUGCCAUUCAUUGAGCACCUACUGUGUGCUUUAUGUACCCUGUCUCAUUGAAUUUUUACAGAAAACUGGAAGAGUUAGUUUUGUGUUAUUACUACCUCCAUCUCAAAGAUGAGUCUUGGAAAGUUUAAGUAACUUUAGGUUACAUUGUAAUCAGUGGCAGAACUGGGACUUAAGAACAUAAUUCAUGUUUGCAUUUUCUUUUCUUUCUCUCUUUUUUUUUUUAAUUUUUUUAAAAGAGAGAGCAUCUCACUCACUAUGUUGCCCAGGCUGGUCUUGAACUCCUGGGCUUAAGCAAUUCUCCCACCUCCGCCUCCCAAAGUGUUAGGAUUAUAGGCAUGAGCCCUCAUGCCCACCCCUUGCGUUUUCUAUUUAAGUGGUCUUGAAGUUUGUUUUUUUUUUCCCCUUUUUAAAUCUUGGAAUUUGGCCUUUAGUAAGCAUAGAAUAGCAAAGUGUAAUACCUGAACUGGGGAAAAAAGUCCUUGAAUUCUUUAGGAAAGACUUAGUUGAUGGGUACAAAGUGAAAUGCUCACUGGAACCGGGAAUCAGAAUCCAGUUCUGCUCACCUAUCCCUACAUACCCUUCUUCCCUCUGCCCUGGCGUAUCAUGGUUGAUGUACAUAUCAAUGAUCAUCCCUUCUAUAAUCCCACUUAACAACUUAGAAGUUAAUUGAUAAUACUCUUCUGGCUUAAAACCCUUCUUCUCUGGGCAGGUGUGGUGGCUCCUACAUUAUCCCAGCACUUUGGGAGGCCGAGGUGGGAGGAUUGCGUGAGCCCAGGAGUUUGAGACCAGCCUGGGUAACAUAGCAAGACCCUGUCUCUACAAAAAAAUUAAAAAGUAGCUGGGCAUGAUGGUGUUCACGCCUGUAAUCCCAGCAUUUGGGGAGGCCAAGGCGGGUGAAUCAUGAGGUCAAGAGAUCAAGACCAUCCUGGCCAACAUGGUGAAACCUCGUCUGUACUAAUACUACAAAAAUUAGCCGGGCGUGGUAGCAGGCACCUGUAGUCCCAGCUAUGGGAGGCUGAGGCAGGAGAAUCAUGUGAACCUGGAAGACGGAGGUUGCAGAGAGCUGAGAUCGCACCACUGUACUCCAGCCUGGUGACAGAGCAAGACUCUGUCUCAAAAAAAAAAGAAACAUCCAGAUGUCCUCUUACUGGAAGGGCAUCAUAGUUUAUCCUGCACCUGACACUAAUAUACCUACUCUGGGAAUUCUUCUACCUACAACUAUUUAUCUGAUCCCAUCAGGUAUUAAAGUUCUAAAAGUUAACAGAAUUCUUAAAGGUUCCCAAUCCCUCCCAGAAACCCCAUCAUCUCAAAGUCACUAGCUAUUAAAAGAAGCAAAAAAAAAAAAAAAAAAA